Molecule: non-coding RNA, 1431 nt
Organism: Elaeis guineensis (African oil palm)
Lineage: Eukaryota; Viridiplantae; Streptophyta; Magnoliopsida; Arecales; Arecaceae
Source: RefSeq, a predicted model, not a curated record
CAGGAAAAAAACCAAGAGAGAAGAGACGUGUCCUUCUACCUUUUUCCUUUUUCCCCUUGUUUUCUUCUUUGGCAAAAAGAGGGGAAGAACAGGAGGGUGGUCAGUGGCCGGAGGAGCGGGGACUGGCGGCGGCGGCAGCAGAACCAGGAGCCUGGUAGCAGGUGGUCAGUGGCGACGACCGGCAGAAAGGCGCGUGGAAAUCAUUCAAAACAGAACCGGACAGGGGUAGAAACGGGGGUUUCUCUUUUCGAUUGACUUCCAGCUAAAUCGAAGGCCGUGGGUUUGGUUUGAAGCUUUAGGAAGAAGAUAAAAGCAAAGAGCAGAGAGGUUGGGGUUGACCUUAGCUCCGACGAGCUUCUUCGGCCUCGAAUUCUGGCGGCCACAGUAAUAGGAAACAGCGGAUUCAAAGGGAAAAAGGAAGAACGAGAGAGGAAGAGGCUCUUUUUUUUUUGGUGGGGACAUGGUCCGAGUCAGUGAUGGGCUGGUCCAUCACAUACACUGCAAAUCUUUACAUAGCUCUGAGCUUCUGCUUUACCUGCAGCUUGCAAGGAAAUGUCUUCACAGAUAGAAAUUAUUUUCCUUCCAACCAUAUUGUUGAGAGCUUCAUUAUAUAAAAGUUUGGAGGAUUAACUCCCAACCUUGUGAUAUGAUGCUCAAAUUAAUAACAGAUGUGCUGUGCAAUGCACUGAUGGAACAAAACAACUGAAAUAUUUGAGAGUUGCACUACAAAAAUGUGCAAGUUCAAGCUCUCAUGAGCAAAGAAUAACGAACAUGGGACAAGAAAAGGAGAAUCAUGAAAGGUUGCUGUUGUAAAGAAACUUAGAUUUGCUGUUGAAGAACAUAGUCAUGCUUGCUGUUUGCGUCGCCAUUCUGCCCUUGCUCUUAUCACCUCGGCUUUAUCCUCUUGCAAGCGAAGCAGGUGGGUGCUUCCCAAAUCUGGUUUGCAUAAACUUGUUCUAGUAGCGUUUUCCUCAGUGUCGCUUGUUGUCAUGCUUGUGAGGGACUCCAGCAACUGAGAUUGCCGGCAUUCACGACGGUACUGCAAUGUGAUGCUUGUGAGAUGGUAAUCCUCUAACACAUUCAUCGGCACACUCUGCACGAGGUGGUAGAUUGCUGCAGUUAGUGGACAUUCUGCUGGUGUUCAAUCUGUACCUCAACUGAAUAUUCUUUUUAUGGACUAGUGAAGCAUUUCCUGGGCUUAAAGGAUGCUAAUGUUAUAACACAUCACAUUAGUUUUUAUAUAGAGAAUUCACACUUAGCAGAAAUAGCAACAUAUAUUUCUUCUGUAAAUGUAUUGCUCUCCUUUCAGAAAUAUGGUGGAAAUGCCACCUUGUAGGUCUGAAUGCCGAACCUUGCCCCAGUGAUGCACUGAGGAGAGAGAGUAUUAGUGUAAUGAAUGUAGAAAAAUAUUGCCCCUUUUUCCUGAGGAAA